GUAUUGAGCAUAACCGCAUGGAAAAUGGGAAAAUAUUUUGCUUUUGCGAUUUUUAGAUGUUUAAAUUCGCAGUAGAAUGGUUACUAAUGUUUUAUUAGGUACAAAACGAUUCUACUUAUAAACUCAUCUCUAAUUUUAUCAGUGAAACUGUACAGUGUUCAGAGCAAAGACGGCUUUACGUUACAAUUUAUUACUAUUAGUAUUCGAAGGAGUAAGGAAUAAAGUUAGUGAACAAGGAAAUCCACUUGUAGGUUUAACAUUGGUCAUGAGUUGUAAAGAACUUCAAGAGGAAGAGCUUGAAGUUUUGA
Molecule: long non-coding RNA, 308 nt
Organism: Limulus polyphemus (Atlantic horseshoe crab)
Lineage: Eukaryota; Metazoa; Arthropoda; Merostomata; Xiphosura; Limulidae
Exons: 3
Source: RefSeq, a predicted model, not a curated record